CUUUUAAGUUUAUAUGGUGAACUUAUUUGCAAACAGUUGCCGAUGUACACAUCCAGCAGAUACAGAGCAACAUUAGCAUUCAUUUGGAGUCGUGCUUCUGGCCAUCUGGUGAAUGUUUUGCAAUGUUUGAGUAUCUGAACAUAAAGGGGGCAGUUUGGGGCAAAGUCCUUCACCGCCCAGGCUCUCAGGAUGGUCUGAUGGUCCUGAGAGGAAACAAUGAAAGCCAUGCGAUCCACCUCAUUACGACUGCUUAGAAUGAAACAAGCCUCGGCAUCAUCCAUUCUGCAGCAGCGAGACA
Molecule: long non-coding RNA, 298 nt
Organism: Thunnus maccoyii (southern bluefin tuna)
Lineage: Eukaryota; Metazoa; Chordata; Actinopteri; Scombriformes; Scombridae
Exons: 3
Source: RefSeq, a predicted model, not a curated record